This 373-nucleotide ribosomal RNA is filed under the name uncultured organism. Its description in RNAcentral is "partial 16S ribosomal RNA". It matches the Rfam family "Bacterial small subunit ribosomal RNA", at positions 527 to 896 of the family's 1533-position model. The record is from RNAcentral.
AGAGGGUGCAAGCGUUAAUCGGAAUUACUGGGCGUAAAGCGCACGUAGGUGGGAAACUAAGUUAGAUGUGAAAUCCCCGGGCUUAACCUGGGGUGGUCAUUUAACACUGGUUACCUAGAGUAUAGGAGAGGGGAGUGGAAUUUCCGGUGUAGCGGUGAAAUGCGUAGAGAUCGGAAGGAACACCAGUGGCGAAGGCGGCUCUCUGGCCUAAUACUGACACUGAGGUGCGAAAGCGUGGGGAGCGAACAGGAUUAGAUACCCCGGGUAGUCCACGCUGUAAACGAUGAAUACUAGCUGUUGGGACCCCUAUGAGGUCUUAGUGGCGUAGCUAACGCGCUAAGUAUUCCGCCUGGGGAGUACGACCGCAAGGUUA